This 466-nucleotide ribosomal RNA is filed under the name uncultured bacterium. Its description in RNAcentral is "partial 16S ribosomal RNA". It matches the Rfam family "Bacterial small subunit ribosomal RNA", at positions 29 to 506 of the family's 1533-position model. The record is from RNAcentral.
ACGAACGCUGGCGGCGUGCUUAACACAUGCAAGUCGCACGGAAAGGCCCUGCUUUUGUGGGGUGCUCGAGUGGCGAACGGGUGAGUAACACGUGAGUAACCUGCCCUUGACUUUGGGAUAACUUCAGGAAACUGGGGCUAAUACCGGAUAGGAGCUCCUGCUGCAUGGUGGGGGUUGGAAAGUUUCGGCGGUUGGGGAUGGACUCGCGGCUUAUCAGCUUGUUGGUGGGGUAGUGGCUUGCCAAGGCUUUAACGGGUAGCCGGCCUGAGAGGGUGACCGGCCACAUUGGGACUGAGAUACGGCCCAGACUCCUACGGGAGGCAGCAGUGGGGAAUAUUGCACAAUGGGCGGAAGCCUGAUGCAGCAACGCCGCGUGCGGGAUGACGGCCUUCGGGUUGUAAACCGCUUUCGCCUGUGACGAAGCGUGAGUGACGGUAAUGGGUAAAGAAGCACCGGCUAACUACGU